This 21-nucleotide non-coding RNA is filed under the name Caenorhabditis elegans. The record is from RNAcentral. Lineage: Eukaryota; Metazoa; Nematoda; Chromadorea; Rhabditida; Rhabditidae.
UCGUAGUUGGAAUAUGAUUUC